UACGAAGGGUGCAAGCGUUGUUCGGAUUUAUUGGGCGUAAAGCGCGCGCAGGCGGAUUUAUAAGUCAGGUGUGAAAUCUCGAGGCUUAACCUCGAAAUUGCGCCUGAAACUGUUAAUCUAGAAUUCUGGAGAGGGAAGGGGAAUUUCUCAUGUAGGGGUAAAAUCCGUAGAGAUGAGAAGGAACACCGGAGGCGAAGGCGCCUUCCUAGACAGAUAUUGACGCUGAGGCGCGAAAGCGUGGGGAGCAAACAGG
Molecule: unclassified non-coding RNA, 253 nt
Filed under: uncultured Bacteriovoracaceae bacterium
Lineage: Bacteria; Pseudomonadati; Bdellovibrionota; Bacteriovoracia; Bacteriovoracales; Bacteriovoracaceae
Description: contains 16S-23S intergenic spacer region
Rfam family: Bacterial small subunit ribosomal RNA
Source: RNAcentral